This 207-nucleotide ribosomal RNA is filed under the name uncultured bacterium. RNAcentral's name for it is "partial 16S ribosomal RNA". It matches the Rfam family "Bacterial small subunit ribosomal RNA", at positions 1294 to 1500 of the family's 1533-position model. The record is from RNAcentral.
CGGACUGUAGUCUGCAACCCGACUACACGAAGCUGGAAUCGCUAGUAAUCGCGAAUCAGAAUGUCGCGGUGAAUACGUUCCCGGGUCUUGUACACACCGCCCGUCACACCAUGGGAGUCGGGAAUGCCCGAAGUCAGUGACCCAACCUAUAGGAGGGAGCUGCCGAAGGCAGGUCUGAUAACUGGGGUGAAGUCGUAACAAGGUACC